Molecule: ribosomal RNA, 492 nt
Filed under: uncultured bacterium
Lineage: Bacteria
Description: partial 16S ribosomal RNA
Rfam family: Bacterial small subunit ribosomal RNA
Source: RNAcentral
AGUGAACGCUGGCGGUAGGCCUAACACAUGCAAGUCGAACGGCAGCACAGUAAGAGCUUGCUCUUACGGGUGGCGAGUGGCGGACGGGCGCGGAAUACAUCGGAAUCUACUUUUUCGUGGGGGAUAACGUAGGGAAACUUACGCUAAUACCGCAUACGACCUACGGGUGAAAGCAGGGGAUCUUCGGACCUUGCGCGAUUGAAUGAGCCGAUGUCGGAUUAGCUAGUUGGCGGGGUAAAGGCCCACCAAGGCGACGAUCCGUAGCUGGUCUGAGAGGAUGGUCAGCCACACUGGAACUGAGACACGGUCCAGACUCCUACGGGAGGCAGCAGUGGGGAAUAUUGGACAAUAGGCGCAAGCCUGAUCCAGCCAUACCGCGUGGGUGAAGAAGGCCUUCGGGUUGUAAAGCCCUUUUGUUGGGAAAGAAAAUCAGCAGGUUAAUACCCCGCUGUUCUGACGGUACCCAAAGAAUAAGCACCGGCUAACUUCGUG